GUAGGUGGCAAGCGUUGUCCGGGAAUUAUUGGGGCGUAAAGCGCGCGCAGGCGGUUCUUUAAGUCUGAUGUGAAAGCCCACGGGCUCAACCGUGGGAGGGUCAUUGGAAACUGGAGAACUUGAGUACAGAAGAGGAAAGCGGAAUUCCACGUGUAGCGGUGAAAUGCGUAGAGAUGUGGAGGAACACCAGUGGCGAAGGCGGCUUUCUGGUCUGUAACUGACGCUGAGGCGCGAAAGCGUGGGGAGCAAACAGGAUUAGAUACCCUGGUAGUCCACGCAGUAAACGAUGAGUGCUAAGUGUUAGGGGGUUUCCGCCCCUUAGUGCUGCAGCUAACGCAUUAAGCACUCCGCCUGGGGAGUACGGCCGCAAAGGCUGA
Molecule: ribosomal RNA, 377 nt
Filed under: uncultured organism
Description: partial 16S ribosomal RNA
Rfam family: Bacterial small subunit ribosomal RNA
Source: RNAcentral